Molecule: long non-coding RNA, 1422 nt
Organism: Oncorhynchus kisutch (coho salmon)
Lineage: Eukaryota; Metazoa; Chordata; Actinopteri; Salmoniformes; Salmonidae
Exons: 3
Source: RefSeq, a predicted model, not a curated record
GCUUGUAUGCGAAGCAGUAAUUGUUUUAAAACAUCUCCUGCCAUGUCACUGAUGAGUCGUGAAACAAUGUUGUUUGAUGAAGUAAUUGUCUGUAUAGUCUUUUUGGGCCUUUCCCCCAGCCAUAUCUGCGGCAGCAGGAAGAAUUAAGCCCUCCACAAUAGUAUGGGGCCUGCCUGUCCUAGCCACUCGGUAGCUCAUCAUAUAAGACACUUCUAGCCCCUUCUUAUUAAUGGUAUCUGUUGCUUUUAUACAUGUCUUACUACUCAAAAUUCAUUUCAAUUCUUGCUCAAAAACCCCUGGGGCAAAUUUUUCAAAUUGCCAUGUUUUGUUUCUAAAUGUCUGUGCAAGAGUGAAGAUUUCAUCGAGUUGUGAGAUAGUACCUUUGCACAUAGAACACACUGUAGCUGAGGAAAGGCACUACCCCCAAUCUAAGUGCACGCACCAGCCCUCACUGGAUGGAACACACCAGUCCCAGUUGGACAGCACGCACCAGCCCUCACUGGAUGGAACGCACCAGCUCCAGUAUGACGGCACGCACCAGCCGCAUUGCAGCCAUGUGAUGGUUGUAGGGACGAGGUCGAACAAAUCCUCCGUGACAAGGGAAGGAUGGAGGAAGUAAUUUUGAGAAUAGACCCAGUCCAGAUCCGAGAGCUGCACGCUCUCAUUGACAUCAUUGGAGAAACACUGUUAGCUACAGGAGAGAAGGCUAUCGGUGCCAUCCGGCGAGCAAGAGUUGUUUCCUGACAGUGGCAUGUUCCUCUCAUCGUUCUGCCAUCCAUCAGGCAUCUAAGCAAGAUUGCUUGCGUCUGUUCAUUUUCUUUUUGACAAUUGUCUCAGUGGAAGAAUGUGUCAAUUCAGUUGCCUUUGGACGCCAUGGCAAGAUCCCCGAAGGGAAGCUAGUCCUCGAACCAGAAAAAGCCUACAUUUUGCGUUGUGCUACCUUGAAUGGUUGGACCGGAAUCGAUGAAGCAAAACUGAAGGCAUUCAUCAACAAGUGAAGGUCCAGAGCAGGACAUACAGAGUAGUGACUACAUUUUUUUUUUUGUUUGUGUACAAUGUGCAAUGUUCAUAUUUGCAAUAAGGUUAAUUUAAGAACAUACUGUUAUGGGCUUACUGGUGUCACAUGUAGGUUCAACUUUUUGUUCACUACAUCUGGUGGGUGACAACUGGCUAUUUUCAUCUCUACAAUAUUAUUUUUGGCUUUACCUAAUGUUUUAAAUCAGGUACAAGAGCAUAUGCUGUAUAUUCAUUUUAUUUAUGUUCUUACAGUCAAUGGAACCCAAUCUGUGUUGGGAAUGAAAAGUGAGAUGCAUUGUUAAUAUAAUAAGCACUGUUGAAUACAUUUGUUGAACUGUAUCAGUUUAUUCUUAUUUUUUAACAGGUAAUCAUAAUUAAUAAUAUGGCAAAUUAAAUGCUAACAAA